Molecule: ribosomal RNA, 491 nt
Filed under: uncultured bacterium
Lineage: Bacteria
Description: partial 16S ribosomal RNA
Rfam family: Bacterial small subunit ribosomal RNA
Source: RNAcentral
AGUGAACGCUGGCGGUAGGCCUAACACAUGCAAGUCGAACGGCAGCACAGUAAGAGCUUGCUCUUACGGGUGGCGAGUGGCGGACGGGUGAGGAAUACAUCGGAAUCUACUUUUUCGUGGGGGAUAACGUAGGGAAACUUACGCUAAUACCGCAUACGACCUACGGGUGAAAGCAGGGGAUCUUCGGACCUUGCGCGAUUGAAUGAGCCGAUGUCGGAUUAGCUAGUUGGCGGGGUAAAGGCCCACCAAGGCGACGAUCCGUAGCUGGUCUGAGAGGAUGAUCAGCCACACUGGAACUGAGACACGGUCCAGACUCCUACGGGAGGCAGCAGUGGGGAAUAUUGGACAAUGGGCGCAAGCCUGAUCCAGCCAUACCGCGGGGGUGAAGAAGGCCUUCGGGUUGUAAAGCCCUUUUGUUGGGAAAGAAAAGCAGCAGGUUAAUACCCCGCUGUUCUGACGGUACCAAAAGAAUAAGCACCGGCUAACUUCGU